GACAGAGGGUGCGAGCGUUAAUCGGAAUUACUGGGCGUAAAGCGCGCGUAGGUGGUGAUGUAAGUUAGAUGUGAAAGCCCCGGGCUUAACCUGGGAAUUGCAUCUAAUACUGCAUUGCUAGAGUCGAUUAGAGGGAAGUGGAAUUUCCGGUGUAGCGGUGAAAUGCGUAGAUAUCGGAAAGAACACCAGUGGCGAAGGCGACUUUCUGGAAUCAGACUGACACUGAGGUGCGAAAGCGUGGGGAGCGAACAGG
RNAcentral lists this unclassified non-coding RNA (253 nucleotides) under uncultured Gammaproteobacteria bacterium. Its description in RNAcentral is "contains 16S-23S intergenic spacer region". It matches the Rfam family "Bacterial small subunit ribosomal RNA", at positions 524 to 776 of the family's 1533-position model. The record is from RNAcentral. Lineage: Bacteria; Pseudomonadati; Pseudomonadota; Gammaproteobacteria.